RNAcentral lists this ribosomal RNA (253 nucleotides) under uncultured bacterium. RNAcentral's name for it is "partial 16S ribosomal RNA". It matches the Rfam family "Bacterial small subunit ribosomal RNA", at positions 524 to 776 of the family's 1533-position model. The record is from RNAcentral.
UACAGAGGAUGCAAGCGUUAUCCGGAAUGAUUGGGCGUAAAGCGUCUGUAGGUGGCUUUUUAAGUCCGCCGUCAAAUCCCAGGGCUCAACUCUGGACAGGCGGUGGAAACUACCAAGCUGGAGUACGGUAGGGGCAGAGGGAAUUUCCGGUGGAGCGGUGAAAUGCGCAGAUAUCAGGAGGAACACCGAUGGCGAAGGCAGGUCUCUGGGCCACUACUGACGCUGAGAAGCGAAAGCAUGGGGAGCGAACAGG